CUACGGGGCGCUCCAGUGGGGAAUAUUGCGCAAUGGGCGAAAGCCUGACGCAGCGACGCCGCGUGAGGGAAGAAGGCCUUCGGGUCGUAAACCUCUGUCAGGAGGGAAGAACCCCAUGGAUGCGAACAGCGUCUGUGGCUGACGGUACCUCCAGAGGAAGCACCGGCUAACUCCGUGCCAGGCAGCCGCGGUAAUACGGAGGGUGCGAGCGUUAAUCGGAAUCACUGGGCGUAAAGCGCACGUAGGCGGCUUUGCAAGUCGGGCGUGAAAGCCCUGGGCUCAACCGGGGAACUGCGUUCGAAACGGGAUGGCUGGAGUUCGGGAGAGGGUGGCGGAAUUCCGGGUGUAGGAGUGAAAUCCGUAGAUAUCCGGAGGAACACCAGUGGCGAAGGCGGCCACCUGGACCGAUACUGACGCUGAGGUACGAAAGCGUGGGGAGCAAACAGGAUUAGAUACCCUCGUAGUC
Molecule: ribosomal RNA, 466 nt
Filed under: uncultured bacterium
Lineage: Bacteria
Description: partial 16S ribosomal RNA
Rfam family: Bacterial small subunit ribosomal RNA
Source: RNAcentral